This 1621-nucleotide long non-coding RNA is filed under the name Podarcis lilfordi (Lilford's wall lizard). Lineage: Eukaryota; Metazoa; Chordata; Lepidosauria; Squamata; Lacertidae. The record is from RNAcentral.
GAAAUGUUGUUUUCUCCUUCCUCACAACUGACCCCCUCUACCCCACCCCUGGAGGUUUGUGCAGGGCUACAGGGCUCUUCUCCCAGGGGGGCUGGAGCUAUAAACAGGAGCUGUCCUCUUGGGGGUUUGUGAUCCACUGCAAUAUUUUGUUUCAGGUCUCACGCAGAUCUUCAGGUUUAUAUCCCCUAUCGUUAUGGACAUAAGUCUAUACGGUGCAGCCAGCCCCCACAAAUUAAAAUGAGAGGCAAUAAACGAAGUGUUGACCUUCUAGGAAAGAAGCAACAUUACAGUCAUAGCAUAUUUAAACAUAACCUUUAUCACAGAAGCUCGGUGCUUUGGUAAUGUUAAUUAAUUCACCUCUCCAAAAACCCAUCAAGACGAGCAAGUAUUACACAUUCACGUUACAGAUAAAAUAGAGAGGUUAAGGGCUUUCUAAAUGCCAGCUACUGAGUCAGCAGCAUAACUGAUAUGUAGAUGCAACUUUGCCUUUCCCACAGCACCAAAGUCUUCCACUACAGAAAUGAGUGCAUAGUCUAAAUGCAGCAACCUUGUGGAAACUAAGCAGGUCUGGAUCUCAUCUACAUCUGGGUGAGGAACUUCAAAUAUAUGGACUUGAGCUCUCCUUGCAUGAUUCUCCUCUUCAUUUGUGCUCCUGCUCUCCCGCAUCAUGCAAGAGGAUCAGAUAAUAAUAUCAGUGGUACUCAGUAGCAGGUGUAACCAACCCGGUUCCCUCCAGAUGUGUUGGACUACAGCUCCCAGCAGGCCUAGUCAGCAUUGCCAACAAGUACUCAGGGAUGAUGGGAGUUGUAGUCCACAACAAUCGAAGAGUUUUAUGAUGGUUACCCUUGUUCAAUAGCAUCACUGGAAUUUGUUCAUGAUGUUUGGGCCUGAUGGGUGAUCUGUUCUGUUCCACACUGCAUGCACACCCCACAAGAGAUGGAACAGUUCUAACUGGAAGACGCUGUGCAUUAUGCGCACACACUUCCAACAUGCCCAGGGGUCGCCUGAACAACUUAGCUGCCCUAUAGAUACCUAAUGAAAUGUUCUUUCCUAUGGCUCAAUGCAUGUGUGGUUUGUUCAGCAAAUUGCUUGGGUAUGAGGAAGAAGACUGUCUAAUUUCUGUGGUGUGAGGUGGGGUGGGUGUGUUCCACUAAGGCAGAGAUUCACAUGGUCUAUGUGCUGUGCCCAGAGAGAGCCUUAUUUGCACCCGCAACUUGCAGCCAAAGCAUCACACAAUGAAUUAAAUUACAACAACAUCAAGUCUAGUUCUCUUAUUACCAUUGUGCAGCAGGAAGAGCAGUCACAUCCUUGUUGCCAUUGUCCUAUUUUAGGGAUUGACCGAAUGUUGACGUGGGUUAUUAGAUAAUGAACCAGAUCUACUGAGAUCCAAUGAUAUGAUUAACCACACCGUUUCCACUCUUUCUGGAUGACCCUGCCCAAGUUCUGUGCUACGAAACUGGGAGCCUGUUAAAUCAAAGAAGAAAAUACACCAAGCGAAAACACUGACCCAGCCUUCUUAAAAUAGGUAUAUUUUAUAUUUAUAUUUUACAUACUUUACAUUUACAGGAUUUACAAAAGCUGCAUCAUUUUAUGAUCAUCAUUAUACAAAGCAGUCUCGAAA